This 503-nucleotide ribosomal RNA is filed under the name uncultured bacterium. RNAcentral's name for it is "partial 16S ribosomal RNA". It matches the Rfam family "Bacterial small subunit ribosomal RNA", at positions 30 to 523 of the family's 1533-position model. The record is from RNAcentral.
AUUGAACGCUGGCGGCAGGCUUAACACAUGCAAGUCGAGCGGGGUGAUGGUGCUUGCACUAUCACUUAGCGGCGGACGGGUGAGUAAUGCUUAGGGAUCUGCCUAUUAGUGGGGGACAACAUCUCGAAAGGGAUGCUAAUACCGCAUACGUCCUACGGGAGAAAGCAGGGGAUCACUUGUGACCUUGCGCUAAUAGAUGAGCCUAAGUCGGAUUAGCUAGUUGGUGGGGUAAAGGCCUACCAAGGCGACGAUCUGUAGCGGGUCUGAGAGGAGUAUCCGCAACGCUGGGACUGAGACGCGGCCCAGACUCCUACGGGAGGCAGCAGUGGGGAAUAUUGGACAAUGGGGGGAACCCUGAUCCAGCCAUGCCGCGUGUGUGAAGAAGGCCUUAUGGUUGUAAAGCACUUUAAGCGAGGAGGAGGCUCUUUUGGUUAAUACCCAAGAUGAGUGGACGUUACUCGCAGAAUAAGCACCGGCUAACUCUGUGCCAGCCGCCGCCGUAA